Molecule: microRNA, 23 nt
Filed under: Gossypium raimondii (Peruvian cotton)
Lineage: Eukaryota; Viridiplantae; Streptophyta; Magnoliopsida; Malvales; Malvaceae
Description: gra-miR8663b
Source: miRBase by way of RNAcentral
UGAGGCAUGAACUUGGCAAUUUU